CAAAAGGAUAUGAACAGGCCAUGAAUACAUUUGUGAAUAUGAUUAUGGGACAUGGUGUUUACAAUAGCAAAGGACUUGCCUCAGUGACCAGGACGCCCCAUUGGUUUUAAGGUCUGUGGUGAGUCCCCUGGCUGUUGUUCCUGAUUAAUUUUUCUGCUAUUAGCUUUAUGCUCAUUGCCAGCUCAUCAUCUCAUAUUCCUCAGGGUGUAACAUCCCUGUGUAUUUGUCACAGAAAGACAUAUUCAGAGCAAGAGCACCUAACCCCCCACCGCCCACAUCCCAAGUCGUGCAGGAGAUGGGAAAAGCUGUUCCUGAUGUCAGUGAGAGAAAGGGAGAUAAAAGAGAAGGGACAGCCGAAAUCACACCUCACAGGAAGAGCGACGUGAACUUUGAAAACUGGGGCAGUUGUUGGAACUUGCUUACCUGCAGGGGCAGCAGUGCGGAUGAAAGAGAUCCCUACGAACGAAACAGAAACUGACAGGGACUGCUGGGUUGGUGCAUCCUGUUUUAGGAAAAACAUACACUGCACGGAAAGAUCCUGAAUAGGAGCUCACUCAGAGUAGCUUGUGGGCAUCUUUUCAUCUGCGGAGCUUUGGUCUGUCCCAGUGAUCCAGGGCAAACACAGAGGAAGCAGUGAGUAACCAUUAAAACCACUUGUAAUCCAAAAGGAGAAGAGGGAAGGCCAACCGUGGGCCACAUCUGUGUUCAGCAAAGUGGGGACGAGAGGAAUGGAGCUGACCUGGACCCGUGAGAUGCUGGUUGUGCAUCACAGAACAUCACAGCCUGGUUUUCCUGCAGCCUGGGAGAGACAUCUGUGCCCUCACACAGACCUGGGGAUGACAGUGAGCAGGGACAUCGCUUCCUAGUUCUCUAGGGCCACGAGCAAUGCUCUGUGAAAGCAUCUUGUGGAAAUACAUCAAUGAGAGCCAUUUUUCUCACACAGGUGCUUCCAAGCAUCAUAAACUUUCUCUCAGACAGAAAGGGCACAGUUGAUGCUGUAAUUAUUGCAAAAUAAAAAGAUUAAAAUUGA
Molecule: long non-coding RNA, 1030 nt
Organism: Gallus gallus (chicken)
Lineage: Eukaryota; Metazoa; Chordata; Aves; Galliformes; Phasianidae
Source: Ensembl